This 606-nucleotide ribosomal RNA is filed under the name uncultured bacterium. Its description in RNAcentral is "bacterial SSU rRNA". It matches the Rfam family "Bacterial small subunit ribosomal RNA", at positions 248 to 853 of the family's 1533-position model. The record is from RNAcentral.
GUUGGUAAGGUAACGGCUUACCAAGGCUAUGAUGUUUAGGGGUCCUGAGAGGGUGGUCCCCCACACUGGUACUGAGACACGGACCAGACUCCUACGGGAGGCAGCAGUGAGGAAUAUUGGUCAAUGGGCGCAAGCCUGAACCAGCCAUCCCGCGUGCAGGAAGACGGCCCUAUGGGUUGUAAACUGCUUUUCCAGGGAGAGAAACUUACGCACGUGUUGCGUGACUGACGGUACCCUGGGAAUAAGCAUCGGCUAACUCCGUGCCAGCAGCCGCGGUAAUACGGAGGAUGCAAGCGUUAUCCGGAUUCAUUGGGUUUAAAGGGUGCGUAGGCGGGCUAUUAAGUCAGUGGUGAAAUCCUGCAGCUUAACUGCAGAACUGCCGUUGAUACUGAUAGUCUUGAGUUUGGUUAAGGUAGGCGGAAUGUGUAAUGUAGCGGUGAAAUGCUUAGAUAUCACACAGAACACCAAUUGCGUAGGCAGCUUACUGAGCCGACACCGACGCUGAGGCACGAAAGCGUGGGGAUCAAACAGGAUUAGAUACCCUGGUAGUCCACGCCGUAAACGAUGAUUACUCGCUGUUGGCGAUACACUGUCAGCGGCUAAGCA